GCAGCUCGAGCUCAAGGCCGUGGGGAAGCAGAUUCGCGACCUGGAACAUAGGCAGGCCGAGCUGAGAGAGCGGAGAGCCGCACUGGAAUCAUCCCGGGCUGACGCUCACAAGUCCGGGGCCGGGUGCACCCAGGACGCGAUCUUCCCAGAUGUCCUUCACUGCGACGCCGGGACACCACGGACCCUGGGUACAUCCACAGCGGAGGACGCGAGCCGGGUCCCGGGCGAUGACUUCUCCCCCUCCUGCCUUUGAGAUCUCCAUCCAGAACCGCUUCGCUCCCCUCCGCGAGACAGGACGCGACGCUGUGAUCAUCGGAGACUCCAUCUUCUGACACGUAAGUGCUACGUUAGCCGAAGGUAAAGUGCACACUCAUUGUUUGCCUGGUGCUCGUGUUCUCGAUGUUUCUGCGCAGAUACCCACGAUCCUGAAGGACGAUGAGAGCCCCAGAGCGGUCGUGCUUCACGCCGGGGUUAACGACACCACGCUGCGGCAGACGGAGACGCUGAAGAGGGACUUCAGGAGCCUGAUCGAGACGGUUCGCAGCACGACGCCCGCGGCGACGAUCGUCGUGUCAGGACCACUGCCCACGUAUCGACGAGGACAAGAAAGUUCAGUAGACUUUUUGCUUUAAAUGAAUGGUUGUUGUCAUGGUGUAAAGAACAGAAACUGCUAUUUGUUAAUAACUGGAAUCUUUUCUGGGACAGUCCUAGACUGUUUCGCGCUGAUGGAUUACACCCCAGCAGAAUUGGAGCGGAGCUUCUCUCUGACAACAUCUCCAGGACACUUCGCUCCAUGUGACUAGAUUUACACAAGCUCCAGUCUGGACCCAGAACACCUGAGAAGAGAUGAUGCUGACCCUCAGAGGACCCCAGAUGAUGCUGACCCUGAAUCAACAAACAGAACUAACAAUUAUUGCUAAAUGUGUGACUGAAUCAUGUAAUAACUUAAUUAAUAAUAUUGAUAGUUCAUCGUCUAGCUGACUACGUCUUGUAUUAUUAUUAUUAUUAUUAUUAUUAUUUUUAUUUUUUCUAAAAUCCUGUCGAAUGUGCACAAACUACUAGCUACUACUAAAUAUUGUAGAAACAUAAUUUUCUGUAAAGUUGCUUUGUAACGAUUUGUUUUGUAAAAAGCGCUAUACAAAUAAACUUGAAUUGAAUUGA
Molecule: long non-coding RNA, 1161 nt
Organism: Carassius gibelio (silver crucian carp)
Lineage: Eukaryota; Metazoa; Chordata; Actinopteri; Cypriniformes; Cyprinidae
Exons: 3
Source: RefSeq, a predicted model, not a curated record